Molecule: long non-coding RNA, 1014 nt
Filed under: Mytilus galloprovincialis (Mediterranean mussel)
Lineage: Eukaryota; Metazoa; Mollusca; Bivalvia; Mytilida; Mytilidae
Source: RNAcentral
CUUUAUUAUGUAAAUCAAUAUAUACAAAAUGAUAUAGCAGCAUAGUAAAUCAGCAAUAUUUUGAUGUCAGAAUGGAUUGCCAUUAUAUAAAUUUUGUUGAUUGUUGGCAUGUCUUUUUUUAUUCAAAAUAUUGUCUCGCAACAAAAUUUCAGUGAUUUGAAACCUCAGGCUGACCAUGCUGACUCAUAAUAAAAUUAUUUAAACAUGUCAACCAAAACUAACCAUAUAAGCACUUAAUCAUGUCUAUUAUGUAAAUCUAUAUAGCAGCAUAGCAAAUCAGCAAUAUUUUGAUUCUUUUCUGUUUACGUAAUAUAAAACGGUCACUGAAGUCAGUAUCUGUAUCUGUAUUUCAAACUUCUGAACAUGGAUGGGUAUGCCGUUAAUUCAUUUUGGCUAUUGUUUGAUUGGUGGAUCUGCGCAUAAAUAAGUCAUGCUUGCUGAGGUGUGCUCAUUUAAACCCAGUGGUUCAGGAUAUUUUGUAAGAUUCACCAUAUCGCUAAUCCUGGCUGAGCCGGCUGCUUGAACUUUUCAUGCAUAUAACAAUCACUUUUCCAUGGUGGCGUCAUAUAUUUUGUUUUAUGACGUCAAAAUUUUACGGGAAAUUUUACAUGUCUAUUAAUGGCAGACAAAUAGCGAUAAGGUUUAUAAAACUAACCCAGUAGUACAUCCCCCAACAAUGUGACUGACAUGAGAGAUACUUUCAUGACUUUAUAAUGAGAAGUUCUCUUCUUGGAAAAGUAUACUGUUACAUGUAGUAUAUUAUGUCGGUUGGUUGAUUUUGUUGGUAGCUAAAUUUCAAGUGGCAAAUAUUUCAUUCCUGUUCGCAUAAGUAUUUUUUCGAACGUUCACGGUAUCAUUUAUAAUUUAUAAUGACAAAUCUAACACAAAUGGUGACAAUUGACGAGAUUGUUCAUAGUUAUACAACACCUUAUGUGCAAUACAUGUAACACUGUACAGUGUACAAUUUCCUUUUGAACAUUUUCUGGAAAACAGAAUCGUGAAUCCAAGGCAAAC